This 554-nucleotide long non-coding RNA is filed under the name Populus trichocarpa (black cottonwood). RNAcentral describes it as "long non-coding RNA (PTRI_LNC003473)". Lineage: Eukaryota; Viridiplantae; Streptophyta; Magnoliopsida; Malpighiales; Salicaceae. The record is from RNAcentral.
UCGCAUUCUGCCAGUGUUGACCUUUGUCCAUUAAAAAUUCAAUAUCUGGAGCUGUAGAUAUCCAAUUGAUGCAAACUCAAUUGUUUUGGAUUCCUGACUCAAAUGUCUACAAACGCUCCAAAUUUCAGCCAAAAACGAUGUCAUAUGAGGGAGAUAUGAUUUUGCAAAGAUGACAACUGAAUUCUGCCAGCAAACAGGUUUCGUGAAGAAACGAAUCCAAAUUACAUCCCGAAGCAUCAAAACCGGCAUCCAAGUUUUAAUUUCAGCAAUUUAGCUCCUCAAGUAAAUCAAUCCAGAAGGUCAAGGAAGGCAGCCACCAACCUCAAGCCACCAACCUCAAACCACCAACCACAAACCAGCUGCCAACCACCAGCCGCCAGCCGCCAGCCGCCAGCCGCCUUCACACUACCACCAUCUCUUGAUGUUCACACUUGAACUUUGAAUUUUCUUACUUACAAUUUGUGUAUAAAUAGGCAGCUAAGUUCAUGAUAUUAAGAGAGCCAACAGAGAGGGAGAGGGAGUGCAGUAGAAUCAAAGAAAGAAGGGUGGCAGCC